Molecule: ribosomal RNA, 253 nt
Filed under: uncultured bacterium
Lineage: Bacteria
Description: partial 16S ribosomal RNA
Rfam family: Bacterial small subunit ribosomal RNA
Source: RNAcentral
GACAGAGGGUGCAAACGUUGCUCGGAAUCACUGGGCGUAAAGGGCGUGUAGGCGGGAAGGAAAGUCAGAUGUGAAAUCCCUGGGCUCAACCCAGGAACUGCAUUUGAAACUCCCUUUCUUGAGUACCGGAGAGGAAGGUGGAAUACCUGGUGUAGAGGUGAAAUUCGUAGAUAUCAGGAGGAAUACCUAUGGCGAAAGCAGGUAUCUGGGCCAUCACUGACGCUGAGCUGCGAAAGCUAGGGGAGCAAACAGG